Molecule: unclassified non-coding RNA, 262 nt
Filed under: Hevea brasiliensis (rubber tree)
Lineage: Eukaryota; Viridiplantae; Streptophyta; Magnoliopsida; Malpighiales; Euphorbiaceae
Source: RNAcentral
GUUGGCGUUGGUGAGCUGUCCGCGUUCAUCGUAGAUGCAGUGUUCGUACAGCGCUGCGCCAAGUCCCUGCACCACGCCGCCGCGGAUCUGUUCGUCCACGAGUUGCGGAUUGAUGAUGGUGCCGCAGUCCUCGACAACCCAGUGCCUGAGCAGUUUGAUAAAGCCGGUGCGGGUGUCGACCUCGAGCCAGGAAGCCUGAANCGUUGGUGAAUGCAAACGGAUACUCGCGCGGCACGAAAUGGCGUGUCGCCAUCAGCUCGGG